Molecule: RNase P RNA, 462 nt
Filed under: Curvibacter sp.
Lineage: Bacteria; Pseudomonadati; Pseudomonadota; Betaproteobacteria; Burkholderiales; Comamonadaceae
Description: RNase P RNA component class A
Rfam family: Bacterial RNase P class A
About the family: Ribonuclease P (RNase P) is a ubiquitous endoribonuclease, found in archaea, bacteria and eukarya as well as chloroplasts and mitochondria.
Source: RNAcentral
GAAGUCAGCCAGACCGCCGCUGGUGCUAGCCGAAAGGGCGGCGACGCAAGUCGCCGUGUGGAAACACCGCACUGGAGGAACGUCCGGACUGCACAGGACAGCGUAGGAGCUAACGGCUCUCCACCGCGAGGUGAGGAUCAGAGCAACAGAGACGAGUUUGGUCGAUCCGGCCCAAUCAGGGUGUUCUGUGGGGUAGCGGCGCAAGCCGCGCAGGGGCGGGCGAAAGCCCGCUCCAUCACGCGCAAGCGUGAUCCCCACAGCCACCUUGGUCGGUGCCCGACCAAGGUGAAACGGGCAAUCUCUACGCGCAGCAAUACCAAGUAGGCCAACGUUGAUGUGGUUCCGCAGAGUUGGCGGGUAGGUAGCAUCGAGCCGGGUGGGUGACCCCCGGCCCAGAGUAAUGGCGGUCACGCCGUGCGCAAGCGCGGUGCACAGAAUCCGGCUUAUCGGCUGACUUCACAC